CCUUCGACGUUAGCGGCGGACGGGUGAGUAACACGUGGGUAACCUACCUAUAAGACUGGGAUAACUUCGGGAAACCGGAGCUAAUACCGGAUAAUAUUUCGAACCGCAUGGUUCGAUAGUGAAAGGUGGUUUUGCUAUCACUUAUAGAUGGACCCGCGCCGUAUUAGCUAGUUGGUAAGGUAACGGCUUACCAAGGCGACGAUACGUAGCCGACCUGAGAGGGUGAUCGGCCACACUGGAACUGAGACACGGUCCAGACUCCUACGGGAGGCAGCAGAA
RNAcentral lists this ribosomal RNA (279 nucleotides) under uncultured Staphylococcus sp. RNAcentral's name for it is "partial 16S ribosomal RNA". It matches the Rfam family "Bacterial small subunit ribosomal RNA", at positions 83 to 354 of the family's 1533-position model. The record is from RNAcentral. Lineage: Bacteria; Bacillati; Bacillota; Bacilli; Caryophanales; Staphylococcaceae.